Molecule: small RNA, 80 nt
Filed under: Rhodnius prolixus
Lineage: Eukaryota; Metazoa; Arthropoda; Insecta; Hemiptera; Reduviidae
Description: RybB RNA
Rfam family: RybB RNA
About the family: This ncRNA was identified in a large scale screen of E. coli. The function of this short RNA is unknown.
Source: Rfam by way of RNAcentral
GCUGCUUUUCUUUGAAAUCCCCUUAUUGAGGAGCCCGUCGUUCCCGCCUUUUCAGGUUCAAGAAUGAUGGGCCUUUUCUU